This is a small nucleolar RNA of Papaver somniferum (opium poppy), 109 nucleotides long. RefSeq annotates it as small nucleolar RNA snoR97. NCBI's taxonomy places the organism in Eukaryota, Viridiplantae, Streptophyta, Magnoliopsida, Ranunculales, Papaveraceae. The record is from RefSeq and is a predicted model, not a curated record. The transcript has a single exon.
GAUAACUUGUGGACAUGAGACUGAAAGAACUCAUACAGUGUGUGUUGGCCGUAGUAGCUUCUUCUCUCGUAUUUUAUGAGGAACGGAGCUUGAUAACAGCACUACAUUU